Molecule: ribosomal RNA, 1358 nt
Filed under: uncultured bacterium
Lineage: Bacteria
Description: bacterial SSU rRNA
Rfam family: Bacterial small subunit ribosomal RNA
Source: RNAcentral
GAUGAACGCUAGCUACAGGCUUAACACAUGCAAGUCGAGGGGCAGCAUGGUCUUAGCUUGCUAAGGCCGAUGGCGACCGGCGCACGGGUGAGUAACACGUAUCCAACCUGCCGUCUACUCUUGGACAGCCUUCUGAAAGGAAGAUUAAUACAAGAUGGCAUCAUGAGUCCGCAUGUUCACAUGAUUAAAGGUAUUCCGGUAGACGAUGGGGAUGCGUUCCAUUAGAUAGUAGGCGGGGUAACGGCCCACCUAGUCUUCGAUGGAUAGGGGUUCUGAGAGGAAGGUCCCCCACAUUGGAACUGAGACACGGUCCAAACUCCUACGGGAGGCAGCAGUGAGGAAUAUUGGUCAAUGGGCGAGAGCCUGAACCAGCCAAGUAGCGUGAAGGAUGACUGCCCUAUGGGUUGUAAACUUCUUUUAUAAAGGAAUAAAGUCGGGUAUGCAUACCCGUUUGCAUGUACUUUAUGAAUAAGGAUCGGCUAACUCCGUGCCAGCAGCCGCGGUAAUACGGAGGAUCCGAGCGUUAUCCGGAUUUAUUGGGUUUAGAGGGAGCGUAGAUGGAUGUUUAAGUCAGUUGUGAAAGUUUGCGGCUCAACCGUAAAAUUGCAGUUGAUACUGGAUAUCUUGAGUGCAGUUGAGGCAGGCGGAAUUCGUGGUGUAGCGGUGAAAUGCUUAGAUAUCACGAAGAACUCCGAUUGCGAAGGCAGCCUGCUAAGCUGCAACUGACAUUGAGGCUCGAAAGUGUGGGUAUCAAACAGGAUUAGAUACCCUGGUAGUCCACACGGUAAACGAUGAAUACUCGCUGUUUGCGAUAUACGGCAAGCGGCCAAGCGAAAGCGUUAAGUAUUCCACCUGGGGAGUACGCCGGCAACGGUGAAACUCAAAGGAAUUGACGGGGGCCCGCACAAGCGGAGGAACAUGUGGUUUAAUUCGAUGAUACGCGAGGAACCUUACCCGGGCUUAAAUUGCAGAUGAAUUACGGUGAAAGCCGUAAGCCGCAAGGCAUCUGUGAAGGUGCUGCAUGGUUGUCGUCAGCUCGUGCCGUGAGGUGUCGGCUUAAGUGCCAUAACGAGCGCAACCCUUGUUGUCAGUUACUAACAGGUUCCGCUGAGGACUCUGACAAGACUGCCAUCGUAAGAUGUGAGGAAGGUGGGGAUGACGUCAAAUCAGCACGGCCCUUACGUCCGGGGCUACACACGUGUUACAAUGGGGGGUACAGAGGGCCGCUACCACGCGAGUGGAUGCCAAUCCCCAAAACCUCUCUCAGUUCGGACUGGAGUCUGCAACCCGACUCCACGAAGCUGGAUUCGCUAGGAAUCGCGCUUCAGCCACGGCGCGGUGAAUACGUUCCCGGGCCU